RNAcentral lists this ribosomal RNA (253 nucleotides) under uncultured bacterium. RNAcentral's name for it is "partial 16S ribosomal RNA". It matches the Rfam family "Bacterial small subunit ribosomal RNA", at positions 524 to 776 of the family's 1533-position model. The record is from RNAcentral.
UACGUAGGGUGCGAGCGUUAAUCGGAAUUACUGGGCGUAAAGCGUGCGCAGGCGGUUUUGCAAGACCGAUGUGAAAUCCCCGGGCUCAACCUGGGAACUGCAUUUGUGACUGCACGGCUGGAGUGCGGCAGAGGGGGAUGGAAUUCCGCGUGUAGCAGUGAAAUGCGUAGAUAUGCGGAGGAACACCGAUGGCGAAGGCAAUCCCCUGGGCCUGCACUGACGCUCAUGCACGAAAGCGUGGGGAGCAAACAGG